GAGGCCCUCUUGGACAACACUUCCUCUCCUGCCCAUGGUGGGAGGUUGGGAAGGACAUUCCCCCAUUUCCAUUUGCUCUGCCAUUCAAAACCUUGUGAGGGCCCUCAGGGAAGAAUCCCUUUGCAGAUGAGGAAACUGAGGCCCCACGUGGUGAAGACAAUUUUUACCCGAAUCCACCCACAACAAGAGACCAUUUGGAUAAUGUACAUUAUGGGAAGAGAACAGAGUCUCAGUGAAGAUCAUGUUUCCCCAGCAACACAGGUGCCAGGAGUAGCUGGCUCUGGUCCCAGCCCAGACUCAGAAAUCCUGAGCCACCAGACCAUUUCUAGAUUAACAAUGACCCACUGGAAACCAGUGUCAGCAUAACAACAGUUACGAGAGCUAAACCUACAAAAUAGAAACACAAGUAAAACUUGUUCAAGUGGUUUGCAGUCAUUGAACAUAGAUCAGCUCCUAUGAAAACAAACUCCAUGGGUUUUCUUUGAUGGCAGUUCUGCUCUAAAGAUGGAUAAGGAAGGAGGUUCCAAGAUGGCCGAAUAGGAACAGCUCCAGUCUACAGCUCCCAGCAUGAGCAACGCAGAAGACAGGGGAUUUCUGCAUUUCCAAUUGAGAACACAGGAGCUAUGUGGAGAGUUGAUGGAGGGACAUUCCAGGCAGAGAGAACAGCAAACACAAAGGCCUUGAAGGGCUCAACACCACAUGGAAGCUGCCAAGGCUUGGGGCUCGCACCAUCUGAAGACAUGGUCUGAACUCUACGUUGGCCCUUUCAGCCAUGGCUGGAGCAGCUGGAACGCAGGGCAUCAAGUCUCUUGGCUGCACACAGCUCAGGGAAGCUGGACCUGGCCCAUGAAACCACUUUUUCUUCCUAUGCCUCCAGACCUGUGAUGGGAGGAGCUGCCAUGAAGACCUCUGACAUGCCCUAGAAACAUUUUCCCCAUUGUCUUAGGGAUUAACAUUCUGUGCCUUGUUGCUUAAGUAAAUUUCUGCCUCAUUGUCAGGCUGCAAAUUUUCUA
This 1013-nucleotide long non-coding RNA is filed under the name Homo sapiens (human). RNAcentral's name for it is "HSALNT0347452". The record is from RNAcentral. Lineage: Eukaryota; Metazoa; Chordata; Mammalia; Primates; Hominidae.